This 1085-nucleotide long non-coding RNA is filed under the name Homo sapiens (human). RNAcentral's name for it is "HSALNT0110963". Lineage: Eukaryota; Metazoa; Chordata; Mammalia; Primates; Hominidae. The record is from RNAcentral.
CUGUCACGCGUCCCCGCUCGUCUUCCAGCGGAAGCGUCGCUGUAGGGUGGCAGUGGUGUAUUUUUUUUUUUUAAUUACGCAAUUUAGGCGAAUGCAGUCCAAUCCAGAGCCGCUAGCUGUGUACGCGCUGAGCUUGGUAGAGUUCACCGUGGAAUUUGCUUUUCCAACAACGACCCCGGGGGAGAGCCCGGGCCUCUUUAGGCGGCGUCUUACCUCGCCCCUCGCCUCCCGGCGUCUUCGGCGACCGCUCAGUAGAUGCGGCGUCCCCAGCGCGGCACCCGAGCCCAGCCCAGCAGCGCGGGCUCUUCGCCUCCCUCUCCACCGUCCCCGCGCUUUUUAAAACUUUGGGCGCAGCUUUUGAGUGACUGUCCAGGAAUCAGUGCUCCUGCCCCACUUCAACUAGCGUACAAAUAAAUACCUUACCCCCGUUCACGUUUCAUAAAUUAGGAAAAGACAUCCAGCUUACAUUCCCCCAAAUUAGCUGUAUCCGACUCUGCAAUUCAUUUACCCUUCCAAGUUGGUGACACGAAAUUCUAUUCUCCAAACAAACCGUAAUGAUCAAUCCAACGUCCCUUUCUACUCCGUUUUAAAAGACUGAAGAAUUAAUGCCAGAGGAGAGCUAUCAACACUGCCGGAGAUUACAGAUUAAGCGAUAUCAGAGCCCCAUACCACCACUCUUUUACUAUCCCUCAUUCUGGGCGUGAUCCCUCUUCACUAAAAUCCUAGCCCAAAUGUAUUUUGUCCCCUACCCUUGAUUCUUUGAAAAUCUGUUUCCUAAAAUAGUAAACGUAACGUUUUAAAGACCUUCUAACGUCACCCUCCUCAUUGCAGUCCUAAGCGGCACACCAGCGCAGCUCAGCCCGCUCCUGAAGACUUCGAAGCAGGAAACCCAGCAAUCUUCCAAGUGGCACCUUCCCUGCUGGCCUAGAUGAACCUAGAAAGUAGCGGUUGACGAGUGAUUGUGCACAGUGUCCAGGAACUCCCAGGCUAAGGGACGUCCAGCUCUCGAGGUUUACAGGCAAGGGGGACCUGAAGUGGAGGGAGGUGCAUUGUUUCCACAUGGCGUUUAGGUGGUAACAGCCCAA